GUGAGCGUAGCUCAAUCGGAUAGAGCACCAGACUGUGGCUCUGGGGGUUGGGGGUUCAAUUCCCCUCGCUCACCCCA
Molecule: transfer RNA, 77 nt
Filed under: Thermotomaculum hydrothermale
Lineage: Bacteria; Pseudomonadati; Acidobacteriota; Holophagae; Thermotomaculales; Thermotomaculaceae
Description: tRNA-His
Rfam family: tRNA
About the family: Transfer RNA (tRNA) molecules are approximately 80 nucleotides in length. Their secondary structure includes four short double-helical elements and three loops (D, anti-codon, and T loops). Further hydrogen bonds mediate the characteristic L-shaped molecular structure. tRNAs have two regions of fundamental functional importance: the anti-codon, which is responsible for specific mRNA codon recognition, and the 3' end, to which the tRNAs corresponding amino acid is attached (by aminoacyl-tRNA synthetases). tRNAs cope with the degeneracy of the genetic code in two manners: having more than one tRNA (with a specific anti-codon) for a particular amino acid; and 'wobble' base-pairing, i.e. permitting non-standard base-pairing at the 3rd anti-codon position.
Source: RNAcentral